Molecule: long non-coding RNA, 358 nt
Filed under: Parus major (Great Tit)
Lineage: Eukaryota; Metazoa; Chordata; Aves; Passeriformes; Paridae
Description: lncRNA (ENSPMJG00000011206.1)
Source: RNAcentral
UUAAAUACAUUUAACACUCUGUCCUUAUGUGACUUUCUCAGGGUUUCCAGGGAAGCCUUCUGUGGGGAGGAACUGAACCUGAUUCUGAUGAGCUGCAGGGGAAUGUUUACAUGUGCCAAAAGCACGGGGUGCAUUUGCCAGCACUGAGCCAAGGAGCCUGGCAGGGGAUUGAUCUGGUUGGUGGCUGAGUCCUACCAGGCCAGUCCUACAUCAGAAAAAAACCACUCUGUUGCCCAGUUCAAGCCAGAGACUCUAUAAUGCUACUGCUCCUCAUGCAGAAAAUGAACAGCAGUUGCCCAGUGCUGCUGGCCAUGCAUCCUCCUCCCUGCAGGCAGGCUUGGAGCCCUUAUUCCUGGGA